RNAcentral lists this ribosomal RNA (468 nucleotides) under uncultured bacterium. Its description in RNAcentral is "partial 16S ribosomal RNA". It matches the Rfam family "Bacterial small subunit ribosomal RNA", at positions 28 to 507 of the family's 1533-position model. The record is from RNAcentral.
GACGAACGCUGGCGGCGUGCUUAACACAUGCAAGUCGAACGGAAAGGCCCUGCUUUUGUGGGGUGCUCGAGUGGCGAACGGGUGAGUAACACGUGAGUAACCUGCCCUUGACUUUGGGAUAACUUCAGGAAACUGGGGCUAAUACCGGAUAGGAGCUCCUGCUGCAUGUUGGGGGUUGGAAAGUUUCGGCGGUUGGGGAUGGACUCGCGGCUUAUCAGCUUGUUGGUGGGGUAGUGGCUUACCAAGGCUUUGACGGGUAGCCGGCCUGAGAGGGUGACCGGCCACAUUGGGACUGAGAUACGGCCCAGACUCCUACGGGAGGCAGCAGUGGAGAAUAUUGCACAAUGGGCGGAAGCCUGAUGCAGCAACGCCGCGUGCGGGAUGACGGCCUUCGGGUUGUAAACCGCUUUCGCCUGUGACGAAGCGUGAGUGACGGUAAUGGGUAAAGAAGCACCGGCUAACUACGUG